This 253-nucleotide ribosomal RNA is filed under the name uncultured bacterium. RNAcentral describes it as "partial 16S ribosomal RNA". It matches the Rfam family "Bacterial small subunit ribosomal RNA", at positions 524 to 776 of the family's 1533-position model. The record is from RNAcentral.
UACGUAGGUGGCAAGCGUUGUCCGGAUUUACUGGGCGUAAAGAGCGCGCAGGCGGUCGAUCAAGUCGCGUGUGAAAGCCCCCGGCUCAACUGGGGAGGGUCACGCGAUACUGAUCGACUCGAAGGCAGGAGAGGGUAGUGGAAUUCCCGGUGUAGUGGUGAAAUGCGUAGAUAUCAGGAGGAACAUCAGCGGCGAAGGCGGCUUCCUGGCUCAUUACUGACGUUCAGGUACGAAAGCGUGGGUAGCAAACAGG